Molecule: ribosomal RNA, 557 nt
Filed under: uncultured bacterium
Lineage: Bacteria
Description: bacterial SSU rRNA
Rfam family: Bacterial small subunit ribosomal RNA
Source: RNAcentral
AAAGCGUGGGUAGCGAACAGGAUUAGAUACCCUGGUAGUCCACGCCGUAAACGAUGAGUGCUAGGUGUUAGGCCCUUUCCGGGGCUNAGUGCCGGAGCUAACGCAAUAAGCACUCCGCCUGGGAAGUACGACCGCAAGGUUGAAACUCAAAGGAAUUGACGGGGGCCCGCACAAGCGGUGGAGCAUGUGGUUUAAUUCGAAGCAACGCGAAGAACCUUACCAGGUCUUGACAUCCCGAUGCUAUUCUUAGAGAUAGGAAGUUACUUCGGUACAUCGGAGACAGGUGGUGCAUGGUUGUCGUCAGCUCGUGUCGUGAGAUGUUGGGUUANNNNNAANNAANGAGCGCAACCCUUAUUGUUAGUUGCCAUCAUUAAGUUGGGCACUCUAGCGAGACUGCCGGUAAUAAACCGGAGGAAGGUGGGGAUGACGUCAAAUCAUCAUGCCCCUUAUGACCUGGGCUACACACGUGCUACAAUGGUCGGUACAACGAGUUGCGAGCCGGUGACGGCAAGCUAAUCUCUGAAAGCCGAUCUCAGUUCGGAUUGGAGGCUGCAANU